RNAcentral lists this ribosomal RNA (219 nucleotides) under Paraclostridium bifermentans. Its description in RNAcentral is "partial 23S ribosomal RNA". It matches the Rfam family "Bacterial large subunit ribosomal RNA", at positions 2703 to 2925 of the family's 2925-position model. The record is from RNAcentral. Lineage: Bacteria; Bacillati; Bacillota; Clostridia; Peptostreptococcales; Peptostreptococcaceae.
GUACCUCUGGUGUACCAGUUGUUCUGCCAAGGGCAUGGCUGGGUAGCUAUGUACGGAAUGGAUAAGCGCUGAAAGCAUCUAAGCGCGAAGCCAACUUCAAGAUAAGAUUUCCCACCGUAAGGGUAAGAUCCCAGGAAGACUACCUGGUUGAUAGGUCGGAGGUGUAAGUGCAGCAAUGUAUGUAGCUUACCGAUACUAAUAGAUCGAGGACUUGACCAA